Molecule: long non-coding RNA, 1113 nt
Filed under: Olea europaea (common olive)
Lineage: Eukaryota; Viridiplantae; Streptophyta; Magnoliopsida; Lamiales; Oleaceae
Description: long non-coding RNA (OEUR_LNC012354)
Source: RNAcentral
UUCUUCUGAGAGCUCAACCUAUAUAACUAAACAAGAUAUGGAUAAGAUGUUCAACAUAUAUAGACAACAAGUGGUGUCAGAUGUAUUUAGUUUCUAUGACGGAUUAAAAACACAAGUGAUUGAAGAAUCUACAAAACAAGAAACUUGCUAUCAUGCCAUUCUUAAACAACAAGAAACUCACUACCAAAAGAUUCUUGACAAUCAAAAACAAUUUUUUGAAAAUCAACAACAAAGCCAACAAGACUAUUUCCAUAGCAUGCAAUCUAGCAUGCAAUCUUAUGUGGAUACCAGUUUCAACUCAGCCAAAUCUUACAUUGAUGAACAAAAUCAAAGUAUGCAGAAUCAAUUAUCCGACUAGAAAUCACACAUGGAAACGAUUGUCAGCUCUAUCCAACAAGAUAUACCUCCUCGUACAAGUCCAAUUGAGUUUGAAAUCCCUUCAACAUCUGAACAUAUUGAAGACAUGGAAAGAUCGGUGAAAGAAAAAAAUGGUAAACAAAAAUAGAUACAAUCUUUAUCAACAACAUCGAUUAAUGCUUUAGAAGACUAUAACAUCAUCAAGUACAAAAACAUUACAGAAUGGAUAUUACAAAAUUCAUCGGGGUAAGAUAUUUAAUUUUACGUUGCUAACUUAAAUAUUAUAAUUGGUAUUUUACUCAUUUAACACUGAUUUAAAUUCUCUUAUACAUCACAUAUUGGAACGAUGGAAUCGGCAAUCUAUGUAGAAAACAAUCGCUAGAAAAUAUACAAGAUGAAACGAAAAGUAUAAAUAUUGUGGUAAGUAAAAUUUAAUAAUCAUAAUUCAUUUUUCUCCAUUAUUCAUAUAUAUAAUUUACAUUUUUUGUUUACUAGCAUAUUGAUAUAGAAUUAAAGCUAUUGAGAAGGCUUGUUACCGUCGGUUCUCCGUUGCUUUCUAAAGAAUGUGCAAUCAUGGACCUUAGAUUCGAAACUGAAUGUGUUCAUUGGUAUACAAAUAUGAAAGAAGGAACUGGCCAUUCUGUAACUAAUUUCAACGCAUUACAACGAUACAUAAAAGGAGAUUGCCUGUAUCUGCUCGACCGUAGAUAACAUACAAAUAUUUACUAAUUCCAUCAGCAUAUCCAGGCAACACUU